UGGGGAAUAUUGCACAAUGGGCGCAAGCCUGAUGCAGCAACGCCGCGUGAACGAUGAAGGUCUUCGGAUCGUAAAGUUCUGUUGCAGGGGAAGAUAAUGACGGUACCCUGUGAGGAAGCCCCGGCUAACUACGUGCCAGCAGCCGCGGUAAUACGUAGGGGGCUAGCGUUAUCCGGAUUUACUGGGCGUAAAGGGUGCGUAGGUGGUCUUUCAAGUCGGUGGUUAAAGGCUACGGCUCAACCGUAGUUAGCCUCCGAAACUGGAAGACUUGAGUGCAGGAGAGGAAAGUGGAAUUCCCAGUGUAGCGGUGAAAUGCGUAGAUAUUAGGAAGAACACCAGUGGCGAAGGCGACUUUCUGGACGAACACUGACGCUGAGGCGCGAAAGCCAGGGGAGCGAACGGG
RNAcentral lists this ribosomal RNA (403 nucleotides) under Verrucomicrobiota bacterium. RNAcentral's name for it is "Verrucomicrobia bacterium partial 16S ribosomal RNA". It matches the Rfam family "Bacterial small subunit ribosomal RNA", at positions 355 to 776 of the family's 1533-position model. Lineage: Bacteria; Pseudomonadati; Verrucomicrobiota. The record is from RNAcentral.